This 301-nucleotide ribosomal RNA is filed under the name uncultured bacterium. RNAcentral's name for it is "partial 16S ribosomal RNA". It matches the Rfam family "Bacterial small subunit ribosomal RNA", at positions 509 to 807 of the family's 1533-position model. The record is from RNAcentral.
CAGCAGCCACGGGAAUACGUAGGGUGCAAGCGUUGUCCGGAAUUAUUGGGCGUAAAGAGCGUGUAGGCGGCUCGACAAGUCCGCUGUGAAAGUCCAGGGCUCAACCCUGGAAUGCCGGUGGAUACUGUCGAGCUAGAGUCCGGAAGGGGCGAGUGGAACUCCUGGUGUAGCGGUGAAAUGCGCAGAUAUCAGGAAGAACACCAAUGGCGAAGGCAGCUCGCUGGGACGUGACUGACGCCGAGACGCGAAAGCGUGGGGAGCGAACAGGAUUAGAUACCCCAGUAGUCCCUGUCUCUUAUAC